GAUGAACGCUGGCGGCGUGCUUAACACAUGCAAGUCGAACGAAGCACCUUGAUUCGAUUCUUCGGAUGAAGAUCUUGGUGACUGAGUGGCGGACGGGUGAGUAACGCGUGGGUAACCUGCCUCAUACAGGGGGAUAACAGUUAGAAAUGACUGCUAAUACCGCAUAAGACCACAGCACCGCAUGGUGCAGGGGUAAAAACUCCGGUGGUAUGAGAUGGACCCGCGUCUGAUUAGGUAGUUGGUGGGGUAACGGCCUACCAAGCCGACGAUCAGUAGCCGACCUGAGAGGGUGACCGGCCACAUUGGGACUGAGACACGGCCCAAACUCCUACGGGAGGCAGCAGUGGCGAAUAUUGCACAAUGGGGGAAACCCUGAUGCAGCGACGCCGCGUGAGCGAUGAAGUAUUUCGGUAUGUAAAGCUCUAUCAGCAGGGAAGAAAAUGACGGUACCUGACUAAGAAGCACCGGCUAAAUACGUG
RNAcentral lists this ribosomal RNA (479 nucleotides) under uncultured bacterium. RNAcentral describes it as "partial 16S ribosomal RNA". It matches the Rfam family "Bacterial small subunit ribosomal RNA", at positions 28 to 507 of the family's 1533-position model. The record is from RNAcentral.